UUGGGUAGGGGAGCGUUCUGUAAGCCUGCGAAGGUGUACUGUGAGGUAUGCUGGAGGUAUCAGAAGUGCGAAUGCUGACAUAAGUAACGAUAAUGCGGGUGAAAAACCCGCACGCCGGAAGACCAAGGGUUCCUGUCCAACGUUAAUCGGGGCAGGGUGAGUCGACCCCUAAGGCGAGGCUGAAAAGCGUAGUCGAUGGGAAACGGGUUAAUAUUCCCGUACUGGUGGUAACUGCGAUGGGGGAACGGAGAAGGCUAGGUUGUCCGGGCGACGGUCGUCCCGGUUCAAGCAGGUAGGCAGAGUGAUUAGGCAAAUCCGGUCACUUAAUGCUGAGAUGUGAUGACGAACCACCAAGGUGGUGAAGCAAUUGAUGCCCCGCUUCCAGGAAAAGCCUCUAAGCUUCAGGUUACCAACAAUCGUACCCCAAACCGACACAGGUGGUCAGGUAGAGAAUACUCAGGCGCUUGAGAGAACUCGGGUGAAGGAACUAGGCAAAAUGGUGCCGUAACUUCGGGAGAAGGCACGCUGGCGGUAGGUAAAGUCCCUCGCGGACGGCGCUGAAGCCAGUCGAAGAUACCAGCUGGCUGCAACUGUUUAUUAAAAACACAGCACUGUGCAAACACGAAAGUGGACGUAUACGGUGUGACGCCUGCCCGGUGCUGGAAGGUUAAUUGAUGGGGUUAGCGUAAGCGAAGCUCCUGAUCGAAGCCCCAGUAAACGGCGGCCGUAACUAUAACGGUCCUAAGGUAGCGAAAUUCCUUGUCGGGUAAGUUCCGACCUGCACGAAUGGCGUAAUGAUGGCCAGGCUGUCUCCACCCGAGACUCAGUGAAAUUGAACUCGCUGUGAAGAUGCAGUGUACCCGCGGCAAGACGGAAAGACCCCGUGAACCUUUACUAUAGCUUGACACUGAACAUUGAGCCUUGAUGUGUAGGAUAGGUGGGAGGCUUUGAAGUGUGGACGCCAGUCUGCAUGGAGCCAACCUUGAAAUACCACCCUUUAACGUUUGAUGUUCUAACCUAGGCCCAUAAACUGGGUCGGGGACCGUGUCUGGUGGGUAGUUUGACUGGGGCGGUCUCCUCCUAAAGAGUAACGGAGGAGCACGAAGGUUGGCUAAGCAUGGUCGGACAUCAUGCGGUUAGUGCAAAGGCAUAAGCCAGCUUGACUGCGAGAGUGACGGCUCGAGCAGGUACGAAAGUAGGUCUUAGUGAUCCGGUGGUUCUGAAUGGAAGGGCCAUCGCUCAACGGAUAAAAGGUACUCCGGGGAUAACAGGCUGAUACCGCCCAAGAGUUCAUAUCGACGGCGGUGUUUGGCACCUCGAUGUCGGCUCAUCACAUCCUGGGGCUGAAGUAGGUCCCAAGGGUAUGGCUGUUCGCCAUUUAAAGUGGUACGCGAGCUGGGUUUAGAACGUCGUGAGACAGUUCGGUCCCUAUCUGCCGUGGGCGUUGGAAGAUUGAGAGGGGUUGCUCCUAGUACGAGAGGACCGGAGUGAACGCACCACUGGUGUUCGGGUUGUCAUGCCAAUGGCAUUGCCCGGUAGCUAAGUGCGGAAGAGAUAACCGCUGAAAGCAUCUAAGCGGGAAACUUGCCUCGAGAUGAGUCUUCCCUGUCGCUUUAAGCGACCUAAAGGAACGUUUAAGACUAAGACGUUGAUAGGCUGGGUGUGUAAGCGUAGCGAUACGUUGAGCUAACCAGUACUAAUGAACCGUGAGGCUUAACC
This 1719-nucleotide ribosomal RNA is filed under the name Proteus mirabilis. Its description in RNAcentral is "bacterial LSU rRNA". It matches the Rfam family "Bacterial large subunit ribosomal RNA", at positions 1224 to 2925 of the family's 2925-position model. Lineage: Bacteria; Pseudomonadati; Pseudomonadota; Gammaproteobacteria; Enterobacterales; Morganellaceae. The record is from RNAcentral.